Molecule: ribosomal RNA, 338 nt
Filed under: Akera bullata
Lineage: Eukaryota; Metazoa; Mollusca; Gastropoda; Aplysiida; Akeridae
Description: partial 12S small subunit ribosomal RNA
Source: RNAcentral
AAGGAGUGAAAACAACUACCUAAGCACUAAUACCUUCCAAGGUUAAAACUUAAAAAGCAUGGCGGCGGAAAAAAAAUUUAGGGGAACUUACCAGGUAAUUGACAACCCCCAAGGGAAGUUACCUUUAUUUAGAGUUUGUAUACCGCCGUUUAGGACCCUCUUACGGAGGGUCCGAGAAGAUUAUUCAUCAAGAAAACAGGUCAUGGUGCAGCCAAUAUAAAGGUCUUGAGGUGAGUUACAAUAAAAAUUUUUUUCGGAAUAAAAAUGUAAGAUUGAAGGAAGAUGGACUUAACAGUAAUUGCUAAAGGAAUACGCUUUGAAGAAAAAAUUUUUCGUGU